RNAcentral lists this ribosomal RNA (251 nucleotides) under uncultured prokaryote. Its description in RNAcentral is "partial 16S rRNA". It matches the Rfam family "Bacterial small subunit ribosomal RNA", at positions 525 to 775 of the family's 1533-position model. The record is from RNAcentral.
ACGUAGGGUGCAAGCGUUAUUCGGAAUUAUUGGGCGUAAAGCGCAUGUAGGCGGCUUGGUAAGUCUGUUGUGAAAGCCCCGGACUCAAUUCGGGAAGUGCAUCGGAUACUGCCAGGCUAGAGUAUAAGAGGGGAGAGCGGAAUUCCUGGUGUAGAGGUGAAAUUCGUAGAUAUCAGGAGGAACAACAGUGGCGAAGGCGGCUCUCUGGAUUAUUACUGACGCUCAGAUGCGAAAGCGUGGGGAGCAAACAG